Molecule: ribosomal RNA, 505 nt
Filed under: uncultured bacterium
Lineage: Bacteria
Description: partial 16S ribosomal RNA
Rfam family: Bacterial small subunit ribosomal RNA
Source: RNAcentral
GACGAACGCUGGCGGCGUGCCUAAUACAUGCAAGUAGAACGCACAGUCCAUACCGUAGCUUGCUACACCAUAGACUGUGAGUUGCGAACGGGUGAGUAACGCGUCGGUAACCUGCCUGGUAGCGGGGGAUAACUAUUGGAAAUGCUAGCUAAUACCGCCUAAUAUUAAUUAUUGCAUGAUAAUUAAUUGAAAGGUGCAAUUGCACCACUACCAGAUGGACCUGCGUUGUAUUAGCUAGUAGGUGAGGUAACGGCUCACCUAGGCGACGAUACAUAGCCGACCUGAGAGGGUGAUCAGCCACACUGGGACUGAGACACGGCCCAGACGCCUACGGGAGGCAGCAGUAGGGAAUCUUCAGCAAUGGACGAAAGUCUGACCGAGCAACGCCGCGUGAGUGAAGAAGGUUGUCGGAUCGUAAAGCUCUGUUGUAAGAGAAGAACGGGUGUGAGAGUGGAAAGUUCACACUGUGACGGUAUCUUACCAGAAAGGGACGGCUAACUACGUG